This 166-nucleotide ribosomal RNA is filed under the name Glomus sp. (unid). The record is from RNAcentral. Lineage: Eukaryota; Fungi; Glomeromycota; Glomeromycetes; Glomerales; Glomeraceae.
CAGUCGUACCUGCGGAUAAUCAGCCUUUAGGAUGCGAUUUUGGGGAGCGUGAGGAGCUAAUCGCCUUCAUGCCUAUAUAUUCGUGUACUUGGGGUGUACUUAUUCGUGAGGUAAGUUAACAUCAAUCUUGGUUAUCAUAAAAUGGACUGGAGGAAUGUAGCUUCGA